AUGCGAAGGUCCCAGCAGGGGGGCGAUUACUCUUGUUAUUGAGGCUUCUCUAACAAUCAAAUUCGAUUCCCUUCGCAUAGUUAUUCGCCGAAUCGUAGGAUGCCCAAAUUUUCUCAAUUUUGACGCGUCUUGAACCCUCGGCUAUAUUUUA
Molecule: small nucleolar RNA, 151 nt
Filed under: Vigna radiata var. radiata (mung bean)
Lineage: Eukaryota; Viridiplantae; Streptophyta; Magnoliopsida; Fabales; Fabaceae
Description: Small nucleolar RNA snoR145
Rfam family: Small nucleolar RNA snoR145
Source: Rfam by way of RNAcentral